RNAcentral lists this long non-coding RNA (1599 nucleotides) under Olea europaea subsp. europaea. The record is from RNAcentral. Lineage: Eukaryota; Viridiplantae; Streptophyta; Magnoliopsida; Lamiales; Oleaceae.
GGGUGAAUAGUUAUUCACAAUAUUAUUGCAGAUCAGAACACUCAGGCUUUCAAGGAAGUGGCCAUUAUAAGGCAUCCACGUAUUGGUGAAUAUGCGUUUGGCUUCAUCACUUCAUCUGUCACCCUCCAGGUUUGCCAUCACUUUCAUGGCUGAUGCCACCUUUUUCUAAGCUUAAAAAGAAGUGAACGUUAAUUUUAUGCUUCUUUUUCAAACUCGCAUAUUUUACAAACAAAACUUGCCAUAGAGCAGAUCACACGCUUUUAAAAAAAAAAAAAAAAGUAACUUUUAAGGCUUAGCAGACAUGCUCUAUAUCAUCUCCUCGAUUAGAAAAUCUGUUUGAACCUUUUCUUAAAAUAAUGCUAUUGCUGAUUUGGUUUUUGUUACACACUAAAUUUUUGUUAUCUGGUUCAUUGUCUUAUGCUGAAUCUUCAUGUAAAUAAAUCUUUUAUGUUGUUUUAGGAGAAACGACCUUGAAUAUUUGAUUUUAUGGUAUUCAAAAUGGUUUGAAGAUUCCACUUUUUGGCAUCAGUUUUUGGACAAUUCUAAAUAUUUAACUCCUUUUCCAUUUCUCUCGAAGCAACAAGCAUGCAUGUCCUAUUUGUAAAACGACAUUUAAGUAACAACAGGAUUGACCAAUCAAAUAUGCAAGAACAUUUUCACCUGUAAAAGAAGAGGCUGACUUUACAUUUGCUUGCUGGCUGCAUUAUAAUCUUGAUUUCGAUUUAGAAUUCUUUAUAUCUCUCUCAUUGCAGAAUUAUGCGGCAGAAGAAGAGCUAUGCUGUGUGUAUGUCCCAACAAACCAUCUAUACAUCGGUGACAUCUUUUUGGUCAAUGCCAAUGAUGUUAUAAGACCAAACUUGUCUGUCCGGGAAGGAAUUGGUAAGAGUUCCGCUUCUUUACUCACCAUGAUUACACUCUCUUCGUUUAAAGGAUGUACCUUAAUUAUUUUCCUCCUAAUGACUUUUUACCUUCGAACAAAUAAGCGUUCACUACAAUUCCACCUUCACGCACUAGCCACAUAUUAUAUCAAGAUUCUUCACUUAAUGUUGUUCUCUGUGUGUAACUGAUACUAUAUAUAAAUAUUAUCUGCCGACUUUUUACUUUGUUCCUUGCUCACAGAAAUUGUUGUAUCGGGUGGCAUGUCAAUGCCCCAAAUACUCUCUACCUUGGAUCCAAGAACUAUUCAGGUGGAUAGGAAUAGAUCUAACAGAAGCUGAGAUUGAAGACAUCAGAUGCAGCUGGUCGGAUUUCUCUAUACCUUUCUGUAUUGCAGAUUAAGUCGAUGAAUGGUAUGAGCACACAAUUCGCUUGUUUCGGCAUCUAAUCUGCAAUUAAUAUUUAAAUUAUUUUAAUUUUUCAAGUGUUAGAUUAUAAUCACAUGAUGUCCUAGUGUACAAUGUGGGGAAGUAGCAGUUGUGGAAAUAUAGUUUGCUAUGUUUUACGUAUUAAAAGAUUUAGUUGUUUAAGGUUAAAAGGAUCGUGUACUAAUGAGUUAGAAUUUAGUAACUUUUUCAUGAGCCUUGUGACACUCUUUUUGCAAUUAUAGUAAUGGUGGAUUCUUCGAUCCAUCUUCAUUAUCAAAUGUACUGACUGGUAUUA